GUUAGAAUACAGUGGCAUCUAUACAUUAUCGUCAGAAUACAGUGGCAUCUAUACAUUACUGUUAGAAUACAGUGGCAUCUAUACAUUAUCGUCAGAAUACAGUGGCAUCUAUACAUUACUGUUAGAAUACAGUGGCAUCUAUACAUUACCAUCAGAAUACAGUGGCAUCGAUACAUUACUGUUAGAAUACAGUGGCAUCUAUACAUUACUGUCAGAAUAUAGUGUCAUCUAUACAUUACCAUCAGAAUACAGUGGCAUCUAUAAAUUACUGUCAGAAUACAGUGUCAUCUAUACAUUACUGUCUGUCUGUCAUGUCCCUGUCAGUCUGUCAUGUCAGUCUGUCUAUCAUGUCUGUCAUGUCCCUGUCUGUCAUGUCUCUGUCAGUCAGUCUGUCAUGUCCUUGUCUGUCUGUCAGUCUGUCUGUCAGUCUGUCUGUCAUGUCCCUGUCUGUCAUGUCUCUGUCAGUCAGUCUGUCAUGUCCCUGUCUGUCUGUCAGUCUGUCUGUCAGUCUGCCUGUCAUGUCUCUGUCAGUCUGCCUGUCAUGUCUCUGUCAGUCUGUCUGUCAUGUCCCUGUCUGUCAUGUCCCUGUCUGUCUGUCAGUCUGUCUGUCAUGUCCCUGUCUGUCAGGUCGCUGUCAGUCUGUCUGUCAUGUUUCUGUCAGUCUGUCUGUCAUGUUGCUGUCAGUCUGUCUGUCAGUCUGUCUGUCAUGUCCCUGUCAGUCUGUCUGUCAUGUUGCUGUCAGUCUGUCUGUCAUGUCCUGUCAGUCUGUCUGUCAUGUCGCUGUCAGUCUGUCCCUGUCAGUCUGUCUGUCCGUCUGUCAGUCUGUCUGUCAUGUUGCUGUCAGUCUGUCUGUCAUGUCGCUGUCAGUCUGUCUGUCAUGUCGCUGUCAGUCUGUCUGUCAUGUUGCUGUCAGUCAGUCUGUCAUGUCAGUCUGUCUGUCAUGUCCCUGUCAGUCUGUCUGUCCGUCUGUCAGUCUGUCUGUCAUGUCCCUGUCUGUCAUGUCACUGUCAGUCUGUCUGUCAUGUCCCUGUCAGUCUGUCAGUCUGUCUGUCAGUCUGUCUGUCUGUCUGUCUGUCUGUCAGUCUGUCUGUCAUGUCCCUGUCUGUCUGUCUGUCUGUCUGUCUGUCUGUCUGUCUGUCUGUCUGUCUGUCUGUCUGUCUGUCUGUCUGUCUGCGUCCCAAAUGGAACCUUAUUGAUUGAGUGAUUUUAUUUGACGGUUGAAUAAAAGCCCAAUCCAGACAAUACAUUUUCAAUUGUGUCUAUGAAAACACUGACUGUUUUCGAUUUGUAGUUCCUUAAAGUGCAGGGUGCAGUAACGUGGCCAACCACAGGCUGCAAUUUGGAACGCUGCCUCUGUCAUUGUGCAGGAUCUACCUACCCAGGUGAGGACGACGACGAAGGUGAUGAUGGUGCUGUAGAAGAGUAGCGCCCCACAUCCAACCAAUAACACACACAGAAGGAGGGGUUUAGGAUCCUCCACACAACUCUGAUUGGCUAGCGGAUAGUGGGGUUUCAGACACUGCUUCUCUGGGAACCAAUCAGAACACACAAGAAGCCAGUAAUUAGAACUACGAUCUGGGACCAGGCUAGGAUAGUAUGGUUCUGUUAUAGAUCUGGGACCAGGCUAGGAUAGUAUGGUUCUGUUAUAGAUCUGGGACCAGGCUAGGAUAGUAUGGUUCUGUUAUAGAUCUGGGACCAGGCUAGGAUAGUAUGGUUCUGUAAUAGAUCUGGGACCAGGCUAGGAUAGUAUGGUUCUGUUACAGAUCUGGGACCAGGCUAGGAUUUUAUGGUUCUGUUAUAGAUCUGGGACGAGGCUAGGAUAGUAUGGUUCUGUUAUAGAUCUGGGACCAGGCUAGGAUAGUAUGGUUCUGUUAUAGAUCUGGGACCAGGCUAGGAUAGUAUGGUUCUGUUAGUGGUGUUGAUCUGGGACCAGGCUAGGAUAGUAUGGUUCUGUUAUAG
This 1959-nucleotide long non-coding RNA is filed under the name Salmo salar (Atlantic salmon). Its description in RNAcentral is "lncRNA (ENSSSAG00000117527.1)". The record is from RNAcentral. Lineage: Eukaryota; Metazoa; Chordata; Actinopteri; Salmoniformes; Salmonidae.